UCCCCAGGUAGCUUAUAUAAAGUAAUGCUUUGAAGCAGCAUAGAAAGAGGGUUCUCUUUUGGGGAG
RNAcentral lists this transfer RNA (66 nucleotides) under Cerastoderma edule. RNAcentral describes it as "tRNA-Phe". Lineage: Eukaryota; Metazoa; Mollusca; Bivalvia; Cardiida; Cardiidae. The record is from RNAcentral.